RNAcentral lists this transfer RNA (85 nucleotides) under Candidatus Staskawiczbacteria bacterium RIFOXYB1_FULL_37_44. RNAcentral's name for it is "tRNA-Ser". It matches the Rfam family "tRNA". From Rfam's summary of the family: Transfer RNA (tRNA) molecules are approximately 80 nucleotides in length. Their secondary structure includes four short double-helical elements and three loops (D, anti-codon, and T loops). Lineage: Bacteria; Candidatus Staskawicziibacteriota. RNAcentral also lists the same sequence under 3 other names. The record is from RNAcentral.
GGAGAGGUGCCUGAGUGGUUUAAAGGAGCUGGUUGCUAACCAGCGCCCCUUCGGGGGCUCGUGGGUUCAAAUCCCACCCUCUCCG